AACGAACGCUGGCGGCGUGCCUAACACAUGCAAGUCGAACGAGCCCUUCGGGGCUAGUUGCGCACGGGUGCGUAACGCGUGGGAACCUGCCCUUAGGCUCGGAUUAACUCCCCGAUAGGGGUGCUAAUACCGGAUAAUCUACUCCUACCAACGGAUGAUAGAGAUUGUAUGGGCCUGCGUUGGGUUAGCUUGUUGGUAGGGUAAAAGCCUACCAAGGCGAGAAUCCAUAGCUGGUCUGAGAGGAUGAUCAGCCACACUGGGACUAAGACGCGGCCCAGAAUCCUACGGGAGGCAGGAGUGGGGGAUAGUGGACAGUGGGCGAAAGGCUGAUCCAGCAAGGCCGGGUGAGUGAUGAAGGCCGUAGGGUUGUAAAGCUCUUUUAACCGGGAUGAUAAUGACAGUACCGGGAGAAAAAGCUCCGGCUAACUCCGUG
This 433-nucleotide ribosomal RNA is filed under the name uncultured bacterium. Its description in RNAcentral is "partial 16S ribosomal RNA". It matches the Rfam family "Bacterial small subunit ribosomal RNA", at positions 29 to 507 of the family's 1533-position model. The record is from RNAcentral.